GGGUGCUUAGCUCAGUUGGGAGAGCGCUUGCCUUACAAGCAAGUGGUCAGAGGUUCAAGUCCUCUAGCACCCACCA
Molecule: transfer RNA, 76 nt
Filed under: Candidatus Cloacimonadota bacterium
Lineage: Bacteria; Pseudomonadati; Candidatus Cloacimonadota
Description: tRNA-Val
Rfam family: tRNA
About the family: Transfer RNA (tRNA) molecules are approximately 80 nucleotides in length. Their secondary structure includes four short double-helical elements and three loops (D, anti-codon, and T loops). Further hydrogen bonds mediate the characteristic L-shaped molecular structure. tRNAs have two regions of fundamental functional importance: the anti-codon, which is responsible for specific mRNA codon recognition, and the 3' end, to which the tRNAs corresponding amino acid is attached (by aminoacyl-tRNA synthetases). tRNAs cope with the degeneracy of the genetic code in two manners: having more than one tRNA (with a specific anti-codon) for a particular amino acid; and 'wobble' base-pairing, i.e. permitting non-standard base-pairing at the 3rd anti-codon position.
Source: RNAcentral